This 75-nucleotide transfer RNA is filed under the name Pseudomonadota bacterium. RNAcentral describes it as "tRNA-Val". It matches the Rfam family "tRNA". Rfam says of the family: Transfer RNA (tRNA) molecules are approximately 80 nucleotides in length. Their secondary structure includes four short double-helical elements and three loops (D, anti-codon, and T loops). RNAcentral also lists the same sequence under 1 other name. Lineage: Bacteria; Pseudomonadati; Pseudomonadota. The record is from RNAcentral.
GGGCGCUUAGCUCAGCGGUAGAGCACCGUCUUCACACGGCGGGGGUCACUGGUUCGAGCCCAGUAGCGCCCACCA